RNAcentral lists this non-coding RNA (29 nucleotides) under Rattus norvegicus (Norway rat). The record is from RNAcentral. Lineage: Eukaryota; Metazoa; Chordata; Mammalia; Rodentia; Muridae.
UGGUGGGUUAGGUUAAAUCAUCUUUACUU